Molecule: non-coding RNA, 71 nt
Organism: Parelaphostrongylus tenuis
Lineage: Eukaryota; Metazoa; Nematoda; Chromadorea; Rhabditida; Metastrongylidae
Source: the annotation of a GenBank genome assembly
GCUUGUAGUGCAACAGCUCAGCACGCGCUCCUGAAACAUGUGAUAUCUGGGUUCGAAUCCCAGCUGAUGCA